UGAACACCAAAAAAAACUUCCUUUUAAAUAACUCUGAGUUUUCCCUAUAAAACUAAUUAAUUGAACUGAGAAAGAGCUUAAUUUAUAUCUUUACAUCUAUAGCACACCUACGCAAUAAGCCACCAAAAGACUUUCGGAAAUAGAUGUUGAAACUGAUACCUUCUUCACGUGAAACGCCGCGGAGACACUCCCCCGAAACCCUCUUGGCUGCUCCAUCGGUAACACUUUCUUGUGGUAAGACUGACAGGUUUGUUGAUGUUCUGGUUCUCGACAUCAACUUUGGGACACAACUUUUGUUCAUUUUGCGCUUUAUUAGUCUUUUCAUGAUAAAGACUAGAUCAGGAAGAACUGGAAGAGAGAACCUGAAACCUGCCCACGUUACUUAAAGGUGGAUUCAUUACAUCUGUUGAUCAUCUGGAUUCAGAGCCUUUAAUUUGACCUUCACAUAAGAAACGUGAAGACUCCCGAAUCCUAAAAUUCUUCUGUGCAGUCGCUCCAGUCUGUAAAACCUGGUGAAGCAUUAUUAGAAGACAAAAAAUCGGUCAAGCUAUGCUACAAAGCCAAAUUGAGUCCUUUAAUGAAUUCAACUUUUAACAAUAUAAUUUAGUUUAAAUAAUAGUAUAUUUAUAGUUACAAUCAAUUUAAAAAACAUUUUCUCGUUUUUCUCCUUUAAAACAUUUUGUUUCAUUCCUGUGAUAAAAAGAAUUGAUUUUUGUUCUUCUACUACAUAAAUUUGCAGAAAAGUGUGGUGUUUUUCUGUUUUGCUUUUACAGCCCUCAGCAAAUUUUGGUAUAAGAGCAGUCAGUGGUGUUUCACAGUCUCUGUGGCAAAUAGUUCACUUUUCCAUGGGUCACACGAAAGUUUAUUCAAGGAAGAUUCAG
RNAcentral lists this long non-coding RNA (881 nucleotides) under Equus asinus (donkey). RNAcentral describes it as "lncRNA (ENSEASG00005034935.1)". Lineage: Eukaryota; Metazoa; Chordata; Mammalia; Perissodactyla; Equidae. The record is from RNAcentral.